AACGCUGGCGGCGUGCCUAAUACAUGCAAGUCGAGCGAAUGGAUUAAGAGCUUGCUCUUAUGAAGUUAGCGGCGGACGGGUGAGUAACACGUGGGUAACCUGCCCAUAAGACUGGGAUAACUCCGGGAAACCGGGGCUAAUACCGGAUAAUAUUUUGAACUGCAUGGUUCGAAAUUGAAAGGUGGCUUCGGCUGUCACUUAUGGAUGGACCCGCGUCGCAUUAGCUAGUUGGUGAGGUAACGGCUCACCAAGGCAACGAUGCGUAGCCGACCUGAGAGGGUGAUCGGCCACACUGGGACUGAGACACGGCCCAGACUCCUACGGGAGGCAGCAGUAGGGAAUCUUCCGCAAUGGACGAAAGUCUGACGGAGCAACGCCGCGUGAGUGAUGAAGGCUUUCGGGUCGUAAAACUCUGUUGUUAGGGAAGAACAAGUGCUAGUUGAAUAAGCUGGCACCUUGACGGUACCUAACCAGAAAGCCACGGCUAACUACGUGCCAGCGGCCGCGGUAAUACGUAGGUGGCAAGCGUUAUCCGGAAUUAUUGGGCGUAAAGCGCGC
This 558-nucleotide ribosomal RNA is filed under the name uncultured Bacillus sp. RNAcentral's name for it is "bacterial SSU rRNA". It matches the Rfam family "Bacterial small subunit ribosomal RNA", at positions 32 to 570 of the family's 1533-position model. Lineage: Bacteria; Bacillati; Bacillota; Bacilli; Caryophanales; Bacillaceae. The record is from RNAcentral.